RNAcentral lists this ribosomal RNA (714 nucleotides) under Streptococcus dysgalactiae subsp. equisimilis. RNAcentral describes it as "bacterial SSU rRNA". It matches the Rfam family "Bacterial small subunit ribosomal RNA", at positions 119 to 813 of the family's 1533-position model. Lineage: Bacteria; Bacillati; Bacillota; Bacilli; Lactobacillales; Streptococcaceae. The record is from RNAcentral.
AGGUAACCCUACCUCAUAGCGGGGGAUAACUAUUGGAAACGAUAGCUAAUACCGCAUAAAAGUGUUUAACCCAUGUUAAACAUUUAAAAGGUGCAAUUGCAUCACUAAUGAGAUGGACCUGCGUUGUAUUAGCUAGUUGGUGAGGUAACGGCUCACCAAGGCGACGAUACAUAGCCGACCUGAGAGGGUGAUCGGCCACACUGGGAACUGAGACACGGCCCAGACUCCUACGGGAGGCAGCAGUAGGGAAUCUUCGGCAAUGGACGGAAGUCUGACCGAGCAACGCCGCGUGAGUGAAGAAGGUUUUUCGGAUCGUAAAGCUCUGUUGUUAGAGAAGAAUGAUGGUGGGAGUGGAAAAUCCACCAUGUGACGGUAACUAACCAGAAAGGGACGGCUAACUACGUUGCCAGCAGCCGCGGUAAUACGUAGGUCCCGAGCGUUGUCCGGAUUUAUUGGGCGUAAAGCGAGCGCAGGCGGUUCUUUAAGUCUGAAGUUAAAGGCAGGUGGCUCAACCAUUGUACGCUUUGGAAACUGGAGAACUUGAGUGCAGAAGGGGAGAGUGGAAUUCCAUGUGUAGCGGUGAAAUGCGUAGAUAUAUGGAGGGAACACCGGUGGCGAAAGCGGCUCUCUGGUCUGUAACUGACGCUGAGGCUCGAAAGCGUGGGGAGCAAACAGGAUUAGAUACCCUGGUAGUCCACGCCCGUAAACGAUGAG